RNAcentral lists this ribosomal RNA (253 nucleotides) under uncultured bacterium. RNAcentral's name for it is "partial 16S ribosomal RNA". It matches the Rfam family "Bacterial small subunit ribosomal RNA", at positions 524 to 776 of the family's 1533-position model. The record is from RNAcentral.
GACAGAGGGUGCAAACGUUGCUCGGAGUCACUGGGCAUAAAGCGCACGUAGGCCGUCUACUAAGUCCAAUGUGAAAUCCCCCGGCUCAACCGGGGAACUGCAUCGGAUACUGGCGGACUCGAGAGUUGUAGGGGUGGACGGAACUCCAGGUGGAGCGGUGAAAUGCGUAGAUAUCUGGAGGAACACCGGAGGCGAAAGCGGUCCACUGGGCAACUUCUGACGCUGAGGUGCGAAAGCUAGGGUAGCAAACGGG